Caerostris darwini is the source of this 97-nucleotide non-coding RNA. NCBI's taxonomy places the organism in Eukaryota, Metazoa, Arthropoda, Arachnida, Araneae, Araneidae. The record is from the annotation of a GenBank genome assembly.
AACGGCCAUACCAUGCUGAAUAUACCGGUUCUCGUUCGAUCACCGAAGUCAAGCAUCAUUGGGCGCGGUCAGUACUUUAAUUGACCACCCGGGAACA